Molecule: long non-coding RNA, 925 nt
Filed under: Brassica napus (rape)
Lineage: Eukaryota; Viridiplantae; Streptophyta; Magnoliopsida; Brassicales; Brassicaceae
Description: long non-coding RNA (BNAP_LNC017361)
Source: RNAcentral
CAAGUAUAAAAAGCUUUGCCGAAGAAGCUAAGCAUUUAUUUUUUUUGAACUUGCAAAGUAAAACCUGAAGUUGUGGUGAUGCUCUCUUUAAAUCCCAAAGAGAAGCUAUCUCAGUUUUCACGAGGUUGCUCCAAAGAUAUGGAUUCGCUGCUGAACCACAGCUCUGCAGCAAGGACAAGUGACUUUGCCUCCGCCACCGUUGUUGCUCGAGAAGAAAUUAUCGCUGCAACUACCACACACUACUUGAUGCGCACACGGAAGAAACACCACCGAGACUUCAUCUUUCAUACAGAUUAUGCAUUCCCUAUCAUUGUUUGCUUCACUCUCAUAAGACCCUUCAAGCCUAUCUAGUUCUUCAAGCAGCUUAGCUAUGUUUUCUCCUUGAGAUCUUUCGGGUUCCCAAACAUUGCUGGAUAAGUGGCUUGAGUCAGUAUCUGAAGAGGCUUUGAGCAGAGACAGCUCUUGCUCGAGCCUUUGGUGAUCGUCUUUGCAAAACAAACCAAACCAUUUCGAGUUUUUACUUAUUUGUUUCCUUCUACUCUAAUUGAAGAUAACCUUUAACAAGAUUAGGUCGAAAAUGUUUCCAUCACGAUCACAAUUUUUUUUUUUGUACAUCGUAGAAAACCUUUUUCCAAAUAAAAUAAAAUACCAAGUAUAAAAAGCUUUGCCGAAGAAGCUAAGCAUUUAUUUUUUUUUUGAACUUGCAAAGUAAAACCUGAAGUUGUGGUGAUGCUCUCUUUAAAUCCCAAAGAGAAGCUAUCUCAGUUUUCACGAGGUUGCUCCAAAGAUAUGGAUUCGCUGCUGAACCACAGCUCUGCAGCAAGGACAAGUGACUUUGCCUCCGCCACCGUUGUUGCUCGAGAAGAAAUUAUCGCUGCAACUACCACACACUACUUGAUGCGCACACGGAAGAAACACCACCGAG